CCUGGCUCAGGAUGAACGCUAGCUACAGGCUUAACACAUGCAAGUCGAGGGGCAGCAUGGUCUUAGCUUGCUAAGGCCGAUGGCGACCGGCGCACGGGUGAGUAACACGUAUCCAACCUGCCGUCUACUCUUGGACAGCCUUCUGAAAGGAAGAUUAAUACAAGAUGGCAUCAUGAGUCCGCAUGUUCACAUGAUUAAAGGUAUUCCGGUAGACGAUGGGGAUGCGUUCCAUUAGAUAGUAGGCGGGGUAACGGCCCACCUAGUCUUCGAUGGAUAGGGGUUCUGAGAGGAAGGUCCCCCACAUUGGAACUGAGACACGGUCCAAACUCCUACGGGAGGCAGCAGUGAGGAAUAUUGGUCAAUGGGCGAGAGCCUGAACCAGCCAAGUAGCGUGAAGGAUGACUGCCCUAUGGGUUGUAAACUUCUUUUAUAAAGGAAUAAAGUCGGGUAUGGAUACCCGUUUGCAUGUACUUUAUGAAUAAGGAUCGGCUAACUCCGUGCCAGCAGCCGCGGUAAUACGGAGGAUCCGAGCGUUAUCCGGAUUUAUUGGGUUUAAAGGGAGCGUAGAUGGAUGUUUAAGUCAGUUGUGAAAGUUUGCGGCUCAACCGUAAAAUUGCAGUUGAUACUGGAUAUCUUGAGUGCAGUUGAGGCAGGCGGAAUUCGUGGUGUAGCGGUGAAAUGCUUAGAUAUCACGAAGAACUCCGAUUGCGAAGGCAGCCUGCUAAGCUGCAACUGACAUUGAGGCUCGAAAGUGUGGGUAUCAAACAGGAUUAGAUACCCUGGUAGUCCACACGGUAAACGAUGAAUACUCGCUGUUUGCGAUAUACUGCAAGCGGCCAAGCGAAAGCGUUAAGUAUUCCACCUGGGGAGUACGCCGGCAACGGUGAAACUCAAAGGAAUUGACGGGGGCCCGCACAAGCGGAGGAACAUGUGGUUUAAUUCGAUGAUACGCGAGGAACCUUACCCGGGCUUAAAUUGCAGAUGAAUUACGGCGAAAGCCGUAAGCCGCAAGGCAUCUGUGAAGGUGCUGCAUGGUUGUCGUCAGCUCGUGCCGUGAGGUGUCGGCUUAAGUGCCAUAACGAGCGCAACCCUUGUUGUCAGUUACUAACAGGUUCCGCUGAGGACUCUGACAAGACUGCCAUCGUAAGAUGUGAGGAAGGUGGGGAUGACGUCAAAUCAGCACGGCCCUUACGUCCGGGGCUACACACGUGUUACAAUGGGGGGUACAGAGGGCCGCUACCACGCGAGUGGAUGCCAAUCCCCAAAACCUCUCUCAGUUCGGACUGGAGUCUGCAACCCGACUCCACGAAGCUGGAUUCGCUAGUAAUCGCGCAUCAGCCACGGCGCGGUGAAUACGUUCCCGGGCCUUG
This 1370-nucleotide ribosomal RNA is filed under the name uncultured bacterium. Its description in RNAcentral is "bacterial SSU rRNA". It matches the Rfam family "Bacterial small subunit ribosomal RNA", at positions 18 to 1383 of the family's 1533-position model. The record is from RNAcentral.